AGAUUAAGUUAUUAAGGGCGCACGGUGGAUGCCUUGGCACUAGAAGCCGAUGAAGGACGUUACUAACGACGAUAUGCUUUGGGGAGCUGUAAGUAAGCUUUGAUCCAGAGAUUUCCGAAUGGGGAAACCCAGCAUGAGUUAUGUCAUGUUAUCGAUAUGUGAAUACAUAGCAUAUCAGAAGGCACACCCGGAGAACUGAAACAUCUUAGUACCCGGAGGAAGAGAAAGAAAAUUCGAUUCCCUUAGUAGCGGCGAGCGAAACGGGAAGAGCCCAAACCAACAAGCUUGCUUGUUGGGGUUGUAGGACACUCUAUACGGAGUUACAAAGGACGACAUUAGACGAAUCAUCUGGAAAGAUGAAUCAAAGAAGGUAAUAAUCCUGUAGUCGAAAAUGUUGUCUCUCUUGAGUGGAUCCUGAGUACGACGGAGCACGUGAAAUUCCGUCGGAAUCUGGGAGGACCAUCUCCUAAGGCUAAAUACUCUCUAGUGACCGAUAGUGAACCAGUACCGUGAGGGAAAGGUGAAAAGCACCCCGGAAGGGGAGUGAAAUAGAACCUGAAACCGUGUGCUUACAAGUAGUCAGAGCCCGUUAAUGGGUGAUGGCGUGCCUUUUGUAGAAUGAACCGGCGAGUUACGAUUUGAUGCAAGGUUAAGCAGUAAAUGUGGAGCCGUAGCGAAAGCGAGUCUGAAUAGGGCGUUUAGUAUUUGGUCGUAGACCCGAAACCAGGUGAUCUACCCUUGGUCAGGUUGAAGUUCAGGUAACACUGAAUGGAGGACCGAACCGACUUACGUUGAAAAGUGAGCGGAUGAACUGAGGGUAGCGGAGAAAUUCCAAUCGAACCUGGAGAUAGCUGGUUCUCUCCGAAAUAGCUUUAGGGCUAGCCUCAAGUGAUGAUUAUUGGAGGUAGAGCACUGUUUGGACGAGGGGCCCCUCUCGGGUUACCGAAUUCAGACAAACUCCGAAUGCCAAUUAAUUUAACUUGGGAGUCAGAACAUGGGUGAUAAGGUCCGUGUUCGAAAGGGAAACAGCCCAGACCACCAGCUAAGGUCCCAAAAUAUAUGUUAAGUGGAAAAGGAUGUGGC
Molecule: ribosomal RNA, 1083 nt
Filed under: Escherichia coli
Lineage: Bacteria; Pseudomonadati; Pseudomonadota; Gammaproteobacteria; Enterobacterales; Enterobacteriaceae
Description: partial 23S ribosomal RNA
Rfam family: Bacterial large subunit ribosomal RNA
Source: RNAcentral